CUGGCCUUUAAUUAUUUCUAAGAACUACAAUAUUCAGUACGAUCACGUAUCUGAUGCAUGAUGAAUAUAUAUAUGAAAUAUUUUCGCGAUAACAACUAAGUAUAUAGCUGUUUUGCUGAAUGUUACACAUAAUAAUAAACUUCAAUCUCGGUUGGUGAAAACUUGUAAGUGCCAGCCAAAAGUGCUUGGGUAUUACUGUUGCCAUAGCUGUAGCCGGAUGGAGGACGAUAUGUGUAACCAAAAUUUGUAUACGAGUAUCUGUUCUUGUCGGCAUUGUUUGCGAUGUAUAGGUCAUGUCCACCUCCAAAGGUUGGUCCAUAUCCUGGAUGCGUUUUAAUUGCAUACUGGCUAUUUCGAUAAACUGCUGAUCUAAAAGAACUCAAGCCAACCUUGUUGCGGAGGGAAAAGAUGUAGUUGCUCGAGCUUGAUCUGUAAGUGCCACUGGAUCCUAAAACCACAUCCAUGUUAAUAAACGAUAUUCGA
This is a non-coding RNA of Paramuricea clavata, 483 nucleotides long. The record is from the annotation of a GenBank genome assembly. NCBI's taxonomy places the organism in Eukaryota, Metazoa, Cnidaria, Anthozoa, Malacalcyonacea, Plexauridae.